GACGAACGCUGGCGGCGUGCCUAAUACAUGCAAGUCGAACGCUUUUUCUUUCACCGGAGCUUGCUCCACCGAAAGAAAAAGGGUGGCGAACGGGUGAGUAACACGUGGGUAACCUGCCCAUCAGAAGGGGAUAACACUUGGAAACAGGUGCUAAUACCGUAUAACACUAUUUUCCGCACGGAAGAAAGUUGAAAGGCGCUUUUGCGUCACUGAUGGAUGGACCCGCGGUGCAUUAGCUAGUUGGUGAGGUAACGGCUCACCAAGGCAACGAUGCAUAGCCGACCUGAGAGGGUGAUCGGCCACACUGGGACUGAGAAACGGCCCAGACUCCUACGGGAGGCAGCAGUAGGGAAUCUUCGGCAAUGGACGAAAGUCUGACCGAGCAACGCCGCGUGAGUGAAGAAGGUUUUCGGAUCGUAAAACUCUGUUGUUAGAGAAGAACAAGGAUGAGAGUAAAAUGUUCAUCCCUUGACGGUAUCUAACCAGAAAGCCACGGCUAACUACGUGCCAGCCGCCGCGGUAA
RNAcentral lists this ribosomal RNA (523 nucleotides) under uncultured bacterium. Its description in RNAcentral is "partial 16S ribosomal RNA". It matches the Rfam family "Bacterial small subunit ribosomal RNA", at positions 28 to 523 of the family's 1533-position model. The record is from RNAcentral.